Molecule: ribosomal RNA, 425 nt
Filed under: uncultured Achromobacter sp.
Lineage: Bacteria; Pseudomonadati; Pseudomonadota; Betaproteobacteria; Burkholderiales; Alcaligenaceae
Description: bacterial SSU rRNA
Rfam family: Bacterial small subunit ribosomal RNA
Source: RNAcentral
GUGGGGAAUUUUGGACAAUGGGGGAAACCCUGAUCCAGCCAUCCCGCGUGUGCGAUGAAGGCCUUCGGGUUGUAAAGCACUUUUGGCAGGAAAGAAACGUCGCGGGUUAAUACCCUGCGAAACUGACGGUACCUGCAGAAUAAGCACCGGCUAACUACGUGCCAGCAGCCGCGGUAAUACGUAGGGUGCAAGCGUUAAUCGGAAUUACUGGGCGUAAAGCGUGCGCAGGCGGUUCGGAAAGAAAGAUGUGAAAUCCCAGAGCUUAACUUUGGAACUGCAUUUUUAACUACCGGGCUAGAGUGUGUCAGAGGGAGGUGGAAUUCCGCGUGUAGCAGUGAAAUGCGUAGAUAUGCGGAGGAACACCGAUGGCGAAGGCAGCCUCCUGGGAUAACACUGACGCUCAUGCACGAAAGCGUGGGGAGCAA